AAGAAACAAAUGCUGUUAUCUCUAAACAUGGAAUUUGAAAUAAAUGAAAAUAUUAGAACAAAUAAACACUCUGAUAAAUGUGAGUGAAUAGGACAGUAGGUAAUAAGCUGGAAGAAUGAAUUCUGUCAGCUCAUGCUUAGAGUCAUAUUGUUAAGGCAGGGUAUGAAGACAGCAGAAACGUAGGGGUUACAGGCAUGAAUUCAGGAGUCAGGUCAAGCAGAGUUGUAAUUGCGUCUCCUCUCAUUCCUAAUCUGUGAAUUUAGCUGAGUCAACUUAACCUACUGAGUUUACUUCAUUAUUUGUAAAAUAAAGGUAAUACCCAAAGGAAAAGUGGUGCGCUCCUAUAAUCCCAGCUCCUUAGGAGGCGGAGGCAGGAAGAUCUCUUAGGCCUAGUAGUUUGAGACCAGCCUGAGCAGCAUAGCAAGACCACGUUUCGCGGAGGGAAAAAUAAAAUACCCGCCCUGCUCUAGGUCCUGGCGAGCCCUCAGCGCGGUGUUCCAUUUCACUCACAGUCUUCCUGGGCUGUGCUCCCCUUGUGUUCCCUGCACUCCUGCACCCUAUUCUUCUGUUUUACAGGCCAGACCUGUUACUCUACAAAUGACUGCACAUGCCAUUGCCCUGCCUCGUCAGCAGACAUGGCAUAUCAUAGGCCGGUACCCAUUCUUGCUUUCUUCUUACUAACAAUUUCAUUUUCUUUUGUUCUGGGGCAACAAAAGGCCCAUCCAUGCCAGUUCAAAGCAAGAAACUUCCUUAGCUUUACUGUAUCUGUGGGACAGUUUAGAGCAGAUGUGUGUGAACAUUUAUGGACAGGGCUUCUGGGAGGCUGCUGUUUGCUGACAGGAAGGGGGACUGACUAGGCUGGCUGCGCACCCUGCCCUUCAGCCUCCCCCAUUCUUCAUCACUGGAAGGCUGAGUUACUGCUCAGUAGUACAGUGGCCGUCUGGCGAGCUGCACACUGGGGUGGGGGCGGGGCGCAAGGAAAAAGGCAUAAGGAGCUUGGCUCCCUAAAGGCACUGUGGGACUCCAGUGAGGAAAAGAACCCCUUCUUUAGGUAAAUCAUUUUAUCAUUUUAUUUGGUAUUCUACUGAAAGCAGUGAAUAUAAUUCUGGCUGUUACCCAUGCUUUACCCCCAGCACUUUAAAAAACCUUUUUUAGUGUUUGGCUGUCUCAUUCUUCAGGACUCCGUUGAAUGUGACUGCCUCAAAGAUGCCUUCUCUGGUCAUUCCUUCUAAAGUAGCGCUUCCUUCCACACUCUUGUGGUAUUCUGUUUUAUUGCCACCACAUUAUUAAAAUUAGCUGAAAAUAUCUUCUUAUUUAUUUACUUCUGAGUACUAUGUAUCUCACUCUGGGUAGAACUAAGCUCAAUUAGAAUAAAGACCUCAUGUGUCUUGUUCAUCGCUCUGUCUGUACUGAGAACUAUGCUGAUAUAAAGCAGGUGCUCAGCAAAUGUUUCUUAAAUGCAUACAAAGUGUGUUAUCUACAUUAAAGAGCAACUUUUACAUUCAAUCAGUAGUUUUGUCAGGGAAAGGAAAAUUAAAGUGGAAUUCAUAGUGUUGGAGUGAUUAUAUACCUUUAUAUAUUCUGGUUUGUGUGUAUAUGUCAUUCACAUUAAUUAAUUGAGCGCUUAUGUGCUAGGAAUUCUAAGCACUGUCUACCUUUUCAUAUUAUUCAGUAAAUAGCUUUAUAAAAAGUAAAUACAAAAUCGUAUGCUUUAUUCUACCGGGUAGUUCUAAAAAAAAAAAAAAAAAAACCAAUUUCCUCUUUUAACCAUUAUGUAUUUAUUUAUUUAUUUUAAAGUGUUUCUUCAAAGUGAAACUUGAAACGUGUGAUAAACUUGCAAAUAGAACUGCAUUUUGUCUCAGUGGAAAAUGCUCUAUCACAUAUAUCUUAAUGACUUUGUGUCAAAACCUACUGUUUUACCUGUCAAGAUGAUCUUCUUCCCUUACUGUGCAUUUCGGAGGAUGGAAGUACAUAGAAUGAAAUUUCAGUGUCAGACACAUCAAUUAUAAACCAACAUAGCUGUUUCAUUUUUCACCAAUGAUGGAGAAAGAGAGUCAGGGGAAGAAUGAGUCUAUUUUUACCUUUAAGUAGCAGCGUUCAGUAUAAGAUGUCUUCACUUAGAAAUCAGUCAUACCCUCAGCUGUGGACCAGUGCAGGCUUUAAUAAUUCAUUCUGAAACCUGUGCUUCCCUAGCUAGUGCUCUCUGGCUCUUUACUUAUUUAGAGGUCUGUUUACUUCUCGGUUUGCACCUGCACUGUCCAUUCAAUCUGCUGUGCAUAACCAGUGGGGAAUAAGCCCAUUAACUAGAAUAAUUGAAGCAUUUCAGCUUCCUGCAAUCUUCAACCUAUUGGGGUCUCAGGCAACAUAUUUCUUUAUAAAGCUCGUCUUUCAUCUGAACCACAGGUCUAGAUCCUUAAUACAGUGAUCAGAAUCUUGUGAUUCUGUGACAUUGGAAUCAUUUGGAAAAUUUGGAAGCCCCAUAAUAUUUGGUCUGGUCUGCAGAUUCUCAAAGCAGUUCCACUAGGGAUUGAUACAAGUGCUAGUCUUGUAUAAUUAACCACAACAACAGAUUGUAGCAGAAUAUAAAAGAUGGAAGCUGACUUAUGGAACAAAAAGACAAAGCUUAUUGUUGUGGCAACGAGGGGCUUGAUUCCUUUAGGACAGGCUAUCCAGGUGAUCUGAUAAUGGAUAUAGAGGAAUUCUAGUAUUGAAUUAGGCCUUUUGCAUCUGACAAAGAACAUGAUUAAAAGCAAUGACUUGAGAGGGAAUAUCUGUUAGCAUCUGUUAACUUGGUGGUCUACACAGGAUGCUGAAGGACUGUGUUAUACAGGAGUGUCUCCUCCUGGGUCCUCGAGGGGCAUGGUUUCAAAUGCAGGGAUUUCCUUUGAGCACCUCCUCCACGCCUCCAUGCUGGAACCAGAGGGGUUUCAAAUGUAAAGUUAUUUGUCUGACUUUCGCAAGUGUGGGCCAGGUAGGGAAAGCCAGGUGGGGUUCCUUUGUCCCAAAAUCCCGCCGAAACUCUGGGAGGAGGGGCUCUAUAACUCAAGAGUUGUGGACCAAGUAGCCAAUCUGAUAUCAGAGUCAAAGAUCAGUCACUCCAGAGGAAGUUUGAAAGAACUCCUCUCAUUGGACGAGAACAUGACUGGGGAGGGACUAACUCAAGGAUUAAAACUCCAGAUGCUCCUACCUAUACAGAUUCCUUCUCUGCGUCCCCUCCCACGACCUCGUGGGAGCUGUCUUCUUUCUCUCUCGAAUUAAUUGCUCUUCCGCAAAAGCGUUUGGGUCCAAGAUAUUUAUUCCAACGGCAAACUCACCACGCCUACAGGGCCCCUUUCCCCAUUCUUUGAAGUUAGAGAGGUGCAGAACCUCUUUGCAACUGGGAGCUGGAUAUGAGCCCCCGGUUACAAUGCCUGACUGAAUGAGAGCCUGCCUUUGGGAGGCUCAUAAGUUCAUAAGAAACAGAAUUGCCGCUAUUACUUAAACCGGGCAGUGUUUUGGUGAAGAACGUGGGCUCUGGGACAAAGGCCAUUUGCUGGUUAUUUUCUCUUGUCCAGUUAAUGAUCACUGUGCCUCAGUUUUCUUAUGUGUAAACUGUGGGUAGCCAGACCUCCCUGAAGGACACUUGCCAGCAAGACCAAAGCACAAGCUACAAACAGAGGCAAAACAGUGGAGGCCAGGGACGCCCCCAAAGGGAUUGGUAACAUGUGCUGGUGCCAGGGGCAGCUCUUGUCCUUGUCCCAGACUUUGCUAGGCAUUUGGUUUGCUGAUGUAAGCACUAAGUGGAAAGCCCCUGCUUCCAAACAGAUGUGAGGCACAGGUUUAAGCUUUGCAUUCUGCAUAUGACCUUUUCAUCUUUGCCCUCCUGUCUCCUAGCAUCCCUUUCUUUGUGAAUGGCGCCUACAGUGGUUUAUACAAACCAGACACCUGAAUCAUUCUAGGCUCCUUUGUGCCGCCCCCUCCAUGUUUCAGCAAAUCACUAAAUAUGGUUUGUUCUACCUUUCUACCUGUGACUUCUGUUUUAGUGUAGGUAAUUCUUAAUCAGCCUUCAAAUUCAGCUCAAAUGUGAUCUCUUAAAGGAAAGCAUUCCAUGACUCUCCAUUUCUUAGUCUAAGUUGCUCCUUUUCUUUGCUUCCCCAAACGUCUUGUGGCUACUUUAGGAAACACAGCAUUUCUUGCAAACAUUAAUUUAGUUUCCUCCACUAGACCCUGAGCUCCUUUGGACAGAGGCUGGGUCUUAUUUGGUUUUAUAUCCCUAAUGACUGGCAUAGUGCCUUCCAACUAACAGGCUUGUGAUGUUUAUUGAAGGAACCAAAGAAAGCAGGUUUUUGUGAGUUCACCUUGGAUCAUAAACAUGAUAUAGAACAUAUUUUUAUGGGGAAAAUAUGUUCUUACCUUCCCAAUAACUCAGAGUUAUAAGAUUUAGAGUAGUAGCAGAUGUCAUACUAAAAGAUCCUUUCUUCAGAGUCUAAAUUUUUUAAAAAAUUUAAUUUCAUGUGAAGGUAAAUUGCUUGUCUCUGACCUCAUCAACAUCCCAGUGGCAGGGUAUU
Long non-coding RNA from Sapajus apella (tufted capuchin), 4547 nucleotides. RefSeq lists it as uncharacterized. NCBI's taxonomy places the organism in Eukaryota, Metazoa, Chordata, Mammalia, Primates, Cebidae. The transcript has 3 exons. The record is from RefSeq and is a predicted model, not a curated record.